This is a long non-coding RNA of Cryptotermes secundus, 2667 nucleotides long. RefSeq lists it as uncharacterized. The record is from RefSeq and is a predicted model, not a curated record. NCBI's taxonomy places the organism in Eukaryota, Metazoa, Arthropoda, Insecta, Blattodea, Kalotermitidae. The transcript has 3 exons.
UAUUAUGCCUAUGUGAAAUUAAGUUCCAAGUUCUGAAGAUAGACUUUUGAAUGAAUUUACAGAAUGAAACCUAUCUGCAUAAAGGGAAUUUCCUACAGUACUCUGAGAAAAAAGACAAUAUUAGCUUCAAGGUUCUCAUAGCAGUGGUUAUGUAAAGCACUAUCCUCUGGGAUGUGAGGUUACGUAGUCCAGGAUACAUUCAAAUCUACACACUACAUAGCAUCACAUCCCUGAUUAUAGUGUUCAAGGAAGACAAUGCUUUUAACUAAAAAUUUUUAACACAAUAUAUUUUAUUCUGGUUUUAUUGAACAUGCUUUACAGGAUUCUUUCACAUAGAUGCCAUAUGUUCUAUUUCGCCCUCUAAAGCAGACAGACUUUCACUUCAUGAACAGAAUUGUCUUGUUCUUUAUAAUUUUCUACCACAAUAAUAUUUUGAUUUAUUAAUAACAUUUGAUUUUAUGACACAUACACACAAUCUACUUUUUAUAUUAGCUUAGUAAUAUUUACUCCAUAGGAACAGGAAUAUAAAAAUUAUAGUACAAAAUUAAUAUUAUAUAAAUGCAAUUAAUUAAGAACUUAAAUAUAUAAUAUAAAAUAUCAGUUGUCUGCAAAUAAGUGUUCAUACAAUAUAACAAACUACAAACUAUGUUACUUUGCAAAAUAUUGGCUUUAAAUAUUAGGUUUACAUACAUUAUUAAAUACGGAAAUGAUAAAUAUUGCAUUUCUUAAGAUUAGAUUCAUGACUGAGGUCCAUAGCUACUUUGUCCACAUGAAUUCAUUCCUACCGAUUAAUUCCUCCAAUUUUUCCAGCUUUCAGAAAGGUGUAGUUUUUCUGUCUCAAUUAACUGCCUAUAUUUAUAGCAUAUAAUCUCUGUAAAACACUGACAUUCAUCUAAUCCAGCUACCACUAUAACUCCAGUAUUUAACACAUUUCUUACAUGUUUUCUCAUUACAAAUUAUUUUCAAUAAUAAAAGCUACCCAGACACUGUGUCCAUGGACAUGUUUCCAUCUUUCUUUUUAUCCAUCAAAUAUCUGUCAAAUCUAAUUUACCUUCCAAGUUCACAUACAUAAGAAGUAACAACUUAAGAGUUCAAGACUUCAGACUAGUUAACGAUUUAAUUAGAAUAGGUAGCAUGUAUUAUGGUGUGCAGUAUGUUGUCCUGCUUUUGUAAAGACCACAUUACUCAGAAACACAGCUUAGUGUACUUGCCAUUAAGUGUUUUCCGUCUUAGUGUAAUUUCAUGUGCAUAAUUUUAUUUAAGUUUUUAUGUUUUCAAUGGCACUGUGGAAGACUGCAGGAAAAUUGAUAUUGUCACAUGUUGAGUGAGCACAGAUGGGGUUUGGAUUGGUAAUCAGAUUUAUUGGACACUUUUAACACACAAUUCAUGACUGCACUUUACAAGUCCCUAUCACACAGAGACUAGUGUUCUCAGUCACGGUCUUCACUGCGCUGCUUGGUAGCAGCUUCCAAUGGUGGACAUUCCCCUUCCUCUGUGUUCCCAAACUGUCCCCAGCCUCAGCUACCACCUUCUGCAACUGUCAACUAACUGAAUCCCAGCAGUUCUCUAACUCAUUGCAGCUCCUAACUUGUUCUGCUUAUAACAUCUUGGCAUGGACUGCAUAGAAAACACCAUUCUUCUGCCACAGGGAAGUUGUUGCCUAGUGACAUAUUCCAUUGUUGUGUAAAGCCAUCAGCAGGGACUGAACAGAAAACACCAUUUCUCUGUUGUUGUUUAUGGCCUACUGUCUAGAAAUGGCUGGUUGUUGUGACUCUACGAUUCUUGCUUUGAGCGAAUAUGCUACAAUAUUUAGAGUUCUAUUUACUUUCCCUUUAUAAUUUUACACCCAAUAGUUGUUCAGAGUUGACUGUCCAUUAUUAAUUUAUCCACAAAUCAAUUCAUUAUAAUUCUCCAAAUAUCCUCACCAUCAGGACUAACAAACCACUUGCCUACUAGCCUGCAAUGAGUGAAAAACUAUUGAAUUAAUUUGUUUAUAUGUAUUCUCUCCCUUUUUUUUUCUAUACAGGAUGUCAAACAAAAGAUUCAGACAUGAAUGAUAUUUUGUAUUCAUAUAGUAGUGUGGAGUAUAGGCACAUUACAUUGAAACAAACAACAGGACAGCUGUGCAACAGCACAGUAAACAUGCCUCUACAACAACAGAGUUACUGCUUGGUAAACACAUUCCUGCGGCAACAGUUACACAUGCCAUAAGGGAAACAGGGUGUUGUCUACAUGGUCUGCACAAAGGAGUUAUAAAAAGAAGAGAAUUGGGGCAACCAGUCAGUUGAGCUCUGCAAAAGAGGCUGAGGACAGAUGGUGCUAUAAUUAAGUUGACAACUGACGAGAGUUCUGCAUGGGCAGCUUUGAUAAGAGGAUCUAAGCAUGUGAAGUUGAAGAAUGUUCACUGCUAGAAGCCUUUGCUAUGGAAUGGCAGGUGAAAACAUGGCAGGCUGGAGAAGGAACAGCAGGUGCUGUGGUAAUCUGGGAUUAGCGAUAGCGCUGUAAUUACUUGCAGUUCUGAGGUGGUACAGGAGGUGGAAUACAUGCAUCAGAAGUUGAGACAGUCACAUUCACAUAAUCAGUCUCUGCCACAGAGGCCUUCUGAGAGUCUACACCAAGGACAUCAAUGUCUUCUGUCUUCAAAUCAUCACUAAUGGGACCAUGUUG